GCUAUAUACAGGGGGUACCGGUACCGAGUCAGUGUGGAGACUAUAUACAGGGUGGCACCGGUACCGAGUCAGUGUGGAGACUAUAUACAGGGGGUACCGGUACCGAGUCAGUGUGGAGACUAUAUACAGGGGGUACCGGUACCGAGUCAGUGUGGAGGCUAUAUACAGGGGGUACCGGUACCGAGUCAAUGUGGAGGCUAUAUACAGGGGGUACCGGUACAGAGUCAGUGUGGAGGCUAUAUACAGGGGGUACCAGUACAGAGUCAAUGUGGAGGCUAUAUACAGGGGGUACCGGUACAGAGUCAGUGUGGAGACUAUAUACAGGGGGCACCAGUACAGAGUCAAUGUGGAGGCUAUAUACAGGGGGCACCAGUACAGAGUCAAUGUGGAGGCUAUAUACAGGGGGCACCAGUACAGAGUCAAUGUGGAGACUAUAUACAGGGGGUACCGGUGCCGAGUCAGUGUGGAGACUAUAUACAGGGGGUACCGGUACAGAGUCAGUGUGGAGGCUAUAUACAGGGGGUACCAGUACAGAGUCAGUGUAGAGGCUAUAUACAGGGGGUACCAGUACCGAGUCAGUGUGGAGGCUAUAUACAGGGGGUACCGGUACCGAGUCAGUGUGGAGGCUAUAUACAGGGGGUACCAGUACCGAGUCAGUGUGGGGGCUAUAUACAGGGGUACCGGUACCGAGUCAAUGUGUGGGGCUACAGGUUAGUGGAGGUAAUCUGUACAUGAAGGUGGGGGUGAAGUGACUAUGAUUAGGUAACAAGCAAACAGCGAGUAGCAGUAGUCAACAAUAGACUAAUGACACAAAUACCAAAAGAUAGUCAUUGGGUGGAGUUUUCCUUUGAACAGCCCUACAAGCAAGCUGCACAUGUAAACACAGUCAGCACAGAGACUGG
RNAcentral lists this long non-coding RNA (902 nucleotides) under Salmo salar (Atlantic salmon). RNAcentral's name for it is "lncRNA (ENSSSAG00000097821.1)". Lineage: Eukaryota; Metazoa; Chordata; Actinopteri; Salmoniformes; Salmonidae. The record is from RNAcentral.